Molecule: long non-coding RNA, 2809 nt
Filed under: Salmo salar (Atlantic salmon)
Lineage: Eukaryota; Metazoa; Chordata; Actinopteri; Salmoniformes; Salmonidae
Description: lncRNA (ENSSSAG00000086267.1)
Source: RNAcentral
CAGGCUUCUGUGAAAGAAUGUUCCGGUACAGUACAUCUACCCACAUUUCAAUGAACACAACAAUAUAAAGGCUCCAGAAACAACUAUAUACAGCUCAUUUAUUUGCCAUUGCAGGUUUUUACAACAACAAAAAAACACAAAGUAGAAUUACAGUACAAUAAUCAAUACAAUAUGUUACUGUAAACUCACGGAAACAAAAAUAAUUACAGUAAAAUUACAGCACAAUGGUAAACAAAAAAUAGUAUUGUAAGGGAUUGUAAGGGAUGGGGUGGAUGGUUUAUGGAUCCCACCUUCUGUUAGGGUCUGGCCACAUCACCUCAUCCACAUCACAAGCAAUGUCAUCCCUGGUUAGGCAACAGGGAAAAUAUCGCCUUGCGUGCUGUAUCCAACCAUGGACUGACACCACCUCAAUAACUCCGUAUGCCUCUUCCAUCGCUUGCAGAAGAGGCAGGCGGGCAUGUGGUUGGCGGUCACACACUUUCCAAUGCCAAGCCAAAAAUAAUUCCUCAAUCGGAUUGAGAAAUGGGGAGUAAGGGGGCAAGUACACAACUGUGAAGUUAUUGUGGUUGGUGAACCUCCUACUCCUCUCUCUCUUCCUCUUCCUCUACCUCUUCCUCUUCCUCUCACUGCCCCCAUGUUUGCAAAGUUCUCACAAAAGAGGUGAGCUUACCUGAGGUCUAUUUGUAGUGCUAAGGCUCAGACUAAUUGGUGUUCAAUUACUGUAUGUGUUUCCAUGUGUGUGUGUGGGUGUUGCAAAUUUCAGGUAUGUUUUGCAUUUUGAAUAGAAGUGUUUUCCCAAUGAUUGCAAGAAAUGUAAUUCUUGAAUGAAGUGUCUAAUGUAAGAAACAGUGUGUAGUGUUUUGCAAGUGUAGAAGAAUUGCAAACAAAGUGCAAAGUGUGUUGCAGAAUUGCAAACAAAGUGCAAAGCAGAAAAUGUGUUUGUACUAUUGGUGCCUUUGUUUAAGGAAUGGUUACAAAAGUUAAGGUUUUGACGCUUUUGUCUAAGCAUUCACUUUCAGUGUGCAAGCAAUUGGCAAAAACUGUAAAACCUAUCUGAAACCAUCCAUCCAAAACCCCCAAAGUAGCACCAAAAUUAUUCCCAUUCCAAUUUUGUCAGGAGUAGGGCCCCUUCUGGGUUCAAGGAAAGGUGGUGUCUCUCUCUCUACCGUGGUGAAACAUGAAAACCCUAUUUUACUUAGCACAGUCCAACCGCAGGCGCCUGCAUUCACACUGAUGGUGCUGUUGGGAUAAUGGACUUGAGCCCACACAGGCUGUGCUUCUGUCCUUGGAUUGUUGUUCCAAGGGAGGCCAUACCUCCUCCAGACCAGCAUACUUUCCUUUCAGAAGAGGAGAAAUGAGGAGACAACUUGGAGAUCUGGUGUUGGAAUCGUACACUGAUCUAGCUCUGGCCUGCAAAAGAAAUUGUUUCCUGAGUUUUCUGAACACACCCUGUCUGGUUGCCGGGCGACGAAGCUAGGCGGGAGAUCGCUCAAUUACCCGCACCUGCAUCUCAUCAGCCAUCUGCACACCUGGUCCUGAUCAUCACCUCUUCUCUUCUUAAGCUCUGACCUGACAUCCAUUCCCUGCCGGAUCGUUAGCAAUGAACAUCAUUCUCCCGGAACAUUCACCCCCUUGCCUGGUCGUCGGUGGCUUCUGUCACAUCAUUGGAUCGGCCUAUUCACUCUCACCAACUCACCUCCGCUGCCCGCUCCGUCUCCUGGAUUAUUCUGCUUUCACCUUGACUCUGUAAAUAAAUACUCACCUUCAUUUUACUCACCUUGUCCUGGUGGGCUUCUGGGUUCUGCUUUAGAGAAUCGUAACACUAACUGGAUAUAGCCUACAUAACUAACUGGAUAUAGCCUACAGAACAAACAACAUUGAGACAUUAUUGUUGGAAAUGGAAGUUUAAUAAAAUAUAUCUCUAUUGACAUGAAAGCUGGAUAUCUUUUAUAUUGCCUUGUCAUCCCUUGUCAUCCAAUGCUGGAUAGAGUUUCCAAACCAUGUCGAAGUCUGAAUGGAAUCAAAAGAAGAGAAUGGGCUUGGGACAAAGACGACCCAUCUGAGACUGAGAAAUGGACCUUUUCAUACGUUCUUGCAUUUCCAAUCACCCCAAGCUAUGGCGUGCAAGAAUGCCAUAUGUCACCAUGAUGACAAGUAAUCUAUACUCACAGAAGUGAACAUCCCUUGACCCCUGACCUCAAAAGUAUGCAGUAUUGGCAUGUUGAUGAGUUACGUCUCCAUUUUCAUUGUUGCUUUUAGCAUGAGCAGUUUGUUAUGUACAAAGUCAAUUUGAUAGUCCGACUAAGAUCGCUCAGACAGCUUUGGCCAGAAAAGGAGUUCACAUUUGGUCUUCUCUCUGAGAGCGGAAACCUAAAUGUAUAUUGGUGAAAGAGGUAAAUAUUCUGUGAGAGUGAGAUGUGACAUAUCAAAAUAGAACCAUGUCCCAGAGUUCCGAUAAUAUGUACCAAUAAUCAGUAAAUAAAGGGUAGCUCUGUGUUCCAAGAUUAAAUCGCUGUGAUGAUAUUUACUUAAGUUAAAUUUCAAUUUAAUUGAAACAAUCCUUCCUUGGUAAGUUCCUUCUGAUGCAGCCUGGGAAACGACUGCCAAGAAAAAGCCUCAAUAGAAAUAUCUUCUAAAAACAAACCCUGCUUUAUAUGACAGACAUUCCUUACUCAAUCUGUGUUUGAGUUUUAUCAGCACUGUAACCCUUUCAACUAGGACUGAAAAACAUCAGGCAUGAUUGACUGUCAUGAGGUUCUUUCAACUAGUUCCAGAAACAUACGUCAAGGGUGUAUGAGCUGGAUCUAUG